Molecule: ribosomal RNA, 253 nt
Filed under: uncultured bacterium
Lineage: Bacteria
Description: partial 16S ribosomal RNA
Rfam family: Bacterial small subunit ribosomal RNA
Source: RNAcentral
UACGGAGGGUGCAAGCGUUAAUCGGAAUUACUGGGCGUAAAGCGAGUGUAGGUGGUCGAAUAAGUCGGAUGUGAAAGCCCUGGGCUUAACCUGGGAAUUGCAUUCGAUACUGUUUGGCUAGAGUCUGAUAGAGGGAAGUGGAAUUCCAGGUGUAGCGGUGAAAUGCGUAGAUAUCUGGAGGAACAUCAGUGGCGAAGGCGGCUUCCUGGAUCAAGACUGACACUGAGGCUCGAAAGCGUGGGGAGCAAACAGG